RNAcentral lists this ribosomal RNA (434 nucleotides) under uncultured Lachnospiraceae bacterium. RNAcentral's name for it is "partial 16S ribosomal RNA". It matches the Rfam family "Bacterial small subunit ribosomal RNA", at positions 341 to 792 of the family's 1533-position model. The record is from RNAcentral. Lineage: Bacteria; Bacillati; Bacillota; Clostridia; Lachnospirales; Lachnospiraceae.
ACGGAAGGCAGCAGUGGGGAAUAUUGCACAAUGGGGGAAACCCUGAUGCAGCGACGCCGCGUGAGUGAAGAAGUAUUUCGGUAUGUAAAGCUCUAUCAGCAGGAAAGAGAAUGACGGUACCUGACUAAGAAGCCCCGGCUAACUACGUGCCAGCAGCCGCGGUAAUACGUAGGGGGCAAGCGUUAUCCGGAUUUACUGGGUGUAAAGGGAGCGUAGACGGCUUUGCAAGUCUGAAGUGAAAGCCCGGGGCUCAACCCCGGAACUGCUUUGGAAACUGUAGAGCUAGAGUGCAGGAGAGGUAAGUGGAAUUCCUAGUGUAGCGGUGAAAUGCGUAGAUAUUAGGAGGAACACCAGUGGCGAAGGCGGCUUACUGGACUGUAACUGACGUUGAGGCUCGAAGGCGUGGGGAGCAAACAGGAUUAGAUACCCUGGUA